This 176-nucleotide microRNA precursor is filed under the name Gossypium raimondii (Peruvian cotton). RNAcentral describes it as "miR8734 stem-loop (gra-MIR8734)". The record is from miRBase by way of RNAcentral. Lineage: Eukaryota; Viridiplantae; Streptophyta; Magnoliopsida; Malvales; Malvaceae.
UCUAGUAGAUUACUGAUGUCUUAGUGUCGAGAAUUGAAUAUUUGAAGAGAAUUUAAAACACGAUCCCUUUUUGUAUUAGGACAUUACUUAACUAAAUUAGUUUUCACGAAGAGAGCUUAUUUCAAGUUAAUUGAGAAGAAAUGAUCAUAUCUCGUACGUUAGGACAUACUGCCUUA